UAAGACUCACCAGAGGGUUGCCAUGC
Molecule: non-coding RNA, 26 nt
Filed under: Mus musculus (house mouse)
Lineage: Eukaryota; Metazoa; Chordata; Mammalia; Rodentia; Muridae
Source: RNAcentral